CCUGGCUCAGAUUGAACGCUGGCGGCAUGCCUUACACAUGCAAGUCGAACGGCAGCGGACCUUCGGGUGCCGGCGAGUGGCGAACGGGUGAGUAAUAUAUCGGAACGUACCUUCAGUGGGGGAUAACGUAGCGAAAGUUACGCUAAUACCGCAUAUUCUGUGAGCAGGAAAGCAGGGGAUCGCAAGACCUUGCGCUGAUUGAGCGGCCGAUAUCAGAUUAGCUAGUUGGUGAGGUAAAGGCUCACCAAGGCGACGAUCUGUAGCGGGUCUGAGAGGAUGAUCCGCCACACUGGAACUGAGACACGGUCCAGACUCCUACGGGAGGCAGCAGUGGGGAAUUUUGGACAAUGGGCGCAAGCCUGAUCCAGCCAUGCCGCGUGAGUGUAGAAGGCCUUCGGGUUGUAAAGCUCUUUCGGCCGGGAAGAAAUCGCACAGGUUAAUACCCUGUGUGGAUGACGGUACCGGAAUAAGAAGCACCGGCUAACUACGUG
Molecule: ribosomal RNA, 491 nt
Filed under: uncultured bacterium
Lineage: Bacteria
Description: bacterial SSU rRNA
Rfam family: Bacterial small subunit ribosomal RNA
Source: RNAcentral